This 365-nucleotide ribosomal RNA is filed under the name uncultured bacterium. Its description in RNAcentral is "bacterial SSU rRNA". It matches the Rfam family "Bacterial small subunit ribosomal RNA", at positions 28 to 392 of the family's 1533-position model. The record is from RNAcentral.
GAUGAACGCUGGCGGCGUGCUUAACACAUGCAAGUCGAACGUUAGGGUGCAGCAAUGUACCCGAAAGUGGCAAACGGGUGAGUAACACGUAGAUAACCUGCCUCGCAGUGGGGGAUAACCACGGGAAACUGUGGCUAAUACCGCAUGGUCUUAGUGGAAUGGGAAUCCGCUAAGUAAAGCUUUAGUGCUGUGAGAGGGGUCUGCGUCCGAUUAGCUAGUUGGUGAGGUAACGGCUCACCAAGGCUGUGAUCGGUAGCUGGUCUGAGAGGACGAUCAGCCACACGGGAACUGCGACACGGGUCCCCGACUCCGUACGGGGGGCAGCAGUGAGGAAUAUUGGGCAAUGGGCGCAAGCCUGACCCAGC